This is a long non-coding RNA of Triticum dicoccoides, 416 nucleotides long. RefSeq lists it as uncharacterized. The transcript has 2 exons. The record is from RefSeq and is a predicted model, not a curated record. NCBI's taxonomy places the organism in Eukaryota, Viridiplantae, Streptophyta, Magnoliopsida, Poales, Poaceae.
CUUGGCAUGGGUGCUAGCUUAGGUCCCUUCUACUACUACUCCACUUAGUAACUUGUCUGUAUUCUAUUACUUUGUACCUAUGUGUGUGAGCUGUGUUGUAUUCAUCUUCCUCAAGUACUACAACACUGGUAGUUGUACACAUAUGAUGGUGAUUCGCUCCGGCCAUUCCAGUUUUGGCGGUGGUGGUGCUGCUGCUCCUAUGAUGGUAGACUCGUCUGAUUCCCCUAGCUGCAUCCAUGGUGAUGAAGCUCGGCCUAGGCUAGAACCCCCUCCAAUUUACUUAAGAUCACGGAAGUUUGGGUUGAUGGAGUGCUUGUAUUUAGUUUUUGUUUUGACCUUGUGAAACUUGCUACCUAUGGAUGAAACUGUGUAAUAUUGAUGAAACUAUGUAUAUGUACGGAUGAAACUUGCUACUA